AGAAUUAUUUGGGAUAUAAAGCCUUGUGAACUUUUUGUAGGUCAGUUUUGGAAGUUUAUUUGGAAGAAUUAUCCAGUAAUAGAAUUCCAAUCCACAGAAGGCACUGCUGGCAAGAUAAGCAGCACAGGAACGUGUUUGCCAGGGAGAUCAUCAUGCUGUCAGAAGGCAUUAAAAGAGUCUAAGCAGCUUCAGAGCCUGCUAUGCAAGACAAGAUGUGCACACAAAGUCACUGCUUCUUCUCGGAGCAGCUUCAGAAAGAAACUGAUUCAAUGUGCAGCACACAUGGAGCCUAUAGAGGACAGCACAGAGAAUGCACAGGCAUUGUUGUGUUAUUCAGACAUUGGAAAGCAAACAUUAAACUUCCAUGAAGAUAGGACUUCUUCUCUGAAGACAAUAUUUUCAUUGCCAUGUGCAUACAAGAACAAAGAGCACCCAAGAUCUGCUGAGUUAAAUGAGUACCAGCCCACAGCUUUUGGAUUCUGUUUCACAGUUGUACAUCUCACAGUAAUUCCACAACCACUGGAGAUGCUGAUGUCCAGCAUCUUAAAUGACAUUAUUAUUUUUAUUUUUAUUUUUAUUUUUAUUUUUAUUUUUAGUUUUAGUUUUAGUUUUAGUUUUAGUUUUAGUUUUAUUUAUAAUAACAUAAUUAUUAUUAUUAUUAAUAAUAAUAGUAGUAAUAUUGAGAUACAUUAGCUCUGUAUGUCAGCCUAGUCUGAAACAUUAAUCUCAAUGAUGAUUGCCUUCAUUUUAAGCACAGAUGCAGAAGGAUAUUCAUUUAAUUUGCUAAAAAUGCCUUAAGUGGGUUUAUCCAAAGAGGUUAAGGAGUGUUAAAAAUGUAAAAAGCUACAUUUUUUAAUGUCAAAGAACAAAACAAUGCAGAUAAAUGGCAGUUCAGGCUGAAAUAGUACAGGAAAGCUCAGAUUCAAAAUCGACCAUUAGAAAUGAGAGUUGUUUUAUUGAUGAUUUUUACUGCAUCUGCUUUGUAAAAACGCAAAGGAUUAAAACCCAAGAUAUUUCUUCAACCCUGCUGCUGAAUUUUCUUUUCUGUUACUGUUGUGCAUGGAGAAAAUCAGUGAUGAUGACAAUUUUUUUGAUGCUUGGAAUUUAUUUACUUAAAAUCCAUCAUAUCUUUUUAUUGCUCAAGGUGGAGGGGAGGGAAGAAGUGAUCGUGUUUGCCUUGAUGCCAAGAGUGAUAGACACUCUAAUUUCUCUGGGGAAAUGACUAACUACACUCUACAAAAGCUUUGAUGGUUGUUUUAUAACCAGGAAAAGGAAGAGUUGAUACUUUUAAAAGUGCAUGAGAUAAACUCAGAAGUAAUGUGUUCUAGUUUGUUAGUGUCUAUUCAAUGAACGCUAGAAUUGUUCUUUCAUAAAAAUAAAUGGAAUUACAGAGAAGAUAACUGAUGGAAU
Molecule: long non-coding RNA, 1410 nt
Filed under: Parus major (Great Tit)
Lineage: Eukaryota; Metazoa; Chordata; Aves; Passeriformes; Paridae
Description: lncRNA (ENSPMJG00000010306.1)
Source: RNAcentral